CUUUUCAAAAUGUUCCUGCACUGAUUGCUCGGUGAGUGAGCAUUUUCAGUGUUUCUGAUAAUGGUGACGGAGACGAACCUCGCUUAGCUUCUCGAGAAGCUCAAAGUGGAGGAUCCGUACCUUCCACCGCGAAAUUGUGAAUCCUUACUUUCCGAUAGUGGUCGAUUUCCUCCUCCACCUAAAACUCGUGCUUCACCUGCUUCUUCCGUCUAUGAAUCAAGCUUGGUUAGGUUGGCGUUGAAUGCUCUGCGACUGCAAGGUGUUGAGGAUGCUAAAUUUGGAGGGAUAACAGAGGAUUCUAGAAACCCUUGGAUUUCUGCUAUUCUCUUAUCUGCCUCCGUAAGGACAGGGGAUAGCGAAGCAAGAACUCCGGUGGUUACAUAUAUUGAUGAAACUAAGGCAUCAGAUCAACCAUUUUGUAUCAACACUAGAGCAAUAUGUACAUUCGAAAUUGUCUCACGUAUCAUGGUCCAAGUUCCUUCAUUCCCUGAAGCAUAAGGUCAAGGAUAUGAUGGAUCUUGAGUCUGUGCAUAUGACUUAUCUAAGUGAAGCUCUGCGCAUAUGUUUUCUAUCUGAUGAAACCCGAGUCAUAUCAAACACCAUAGACAACAUCUUACAAUGGGCACUGCCGCACUGGACAUCCGGUCUUGUCUUGCCAGAAGCAUUCAAGGUAUAGCUCAAGCUCCGAACGAUUCAUGGACGAAAAGGCUAGGCAUAAACACAUCUCAGGUGAUAAUGGUGAAGCAGAAGUUUGAGAAAGAGUUGAAGGAUCUGCAUUCGUAUCACCUAAAAAUAUCAAAACAUGGGAGGUCUGGUCUCUCUCGCUUCUGGGACUGCCUCAAUUUCAUCCUCUUAAUGGUUCUAACA
Molecule: long non-coding RNA, 867 nt
Organism: Raphanus sativus (radish)
Lineage: Eukaryota; Viridiplantae; Streptophyta; Magnoliopsida; Brassicales; Brassicaceae
Exons: 6
Source: RefSeq, a predicted model, not a curated record